This 497-nucleotide ribosomal RNA is filed under the name uncultured bacterium. RNAcentral's name for it is "partial 16S ribosomal RNA". It matches the Rfam family "Bacterial small subunit ribosomal RNA", at positions 28 to 507 of the family's 1533-position model. The record is from RNAcentral.
GAUGAACGCUGGCGGCGUGCCUAAUACAUGCAAGUCGAGCGAACGGACGAGAAACUUGCUUCUCUGAUGUUAGCGGCGGACGGGUGAGUAACACGUGGAUAACCUACCUAUAAGACUGGGAUAACUUCGGGAAACCGUAGCUAAUACCAGAUAAUAUUUUGAACCGAAUGGUUCAAAAGUGAAAGACGGUCUUGCUGUCACUUAUGGAUGGAUCCGCGCUGCAUUAGCUAGUUGGUAAGGUAACGGCUUACCAAGGCAACGAUGCAUAGCGGACCUGAGAGGGGGAUAGGCCACCCUGGGACUGAGACACGGUCCAGACUACUACGGGAGGCAGCAGUAGGGAAUCUUCCGCAAUGGGCGAAAGCCUGACGGAGCAACGCCGCGUGAGUGAUGAAGGUCUUCGGAUCGUAAUACUCUGUUAUUAGGGAAGAACAUAUGUGUAAGUAACUGUGCACAUCUUGACGGUACCUAAUCAGAAAGCCACGGCUAACUCCGUG